RNAcentral lists this ribosomal RNA (553 nucleotides) under bacterium enrichment culture clone OB21. Its description in RNAcentral is "partial 16S ribosomal RNA". It matches the Rfam family "Bacterial small subunit ribosomal RNA", at positions 341 to 911 of the family's 1533-position model. The record is from RNAcentral.
ACGGGAGGCAGCAGUGGGGAAUCUUGGACAAUGGGCGCAAGCCUGAUCCAGCCAUGCCGCGUGAGUGAUGAAGGCCUUAGGGUCGUAAAGCUCUUUCGCCAGAGAUGAUAAUGACAGUAUCUGGUAAAGAAACCCCGGCUAACUCCGUGCCAGCAGCCGCGGUAAUACGGAGGGGGUUAGCGUUGUUCGGAAUUACUGGGCGUAAAGCGCGCGUAGGCGGACUAGUCAGUCAGGGGUGAAAUCCCGGGGCUCAACCCCGGAACUGCCUUUGAUACUGCUAGUCUAGAGUUCGAGAGAGGUGAGUGGAAUUCCGAGUGUAGAGGUGAAAUUCGUAGAUAUUCGGAGGAACACCAGUGGCGAAGGCGGCUCACUGGCUCGAUACUGACGCUGAGGUGCGAAAGUGUGGGGAGCAAACAGGAUUAGAUACCCUGGUAGUCCACACCGUAAACGAUGAAUGCCAGUCGUCGGGUAGCANNNNNUUCGGUGACACACCUAACGGAUUAAGCAUUCCGCCNNNNNNNNACGGUCGCAAGAUUAAAACUCANANNNAAUU